This 488-nucleotide ribosomal RNA is filed under the name uncultured bacterium. RNAcentral's name for it is "partial 16S ribosomal RNA". It matches the Rfam family "Bacterial small subunit ribosomal RNA", at positions 30 to 507 of the family's 1533-position model. The record is from RNAcentral.
UGAACGCUGGCGGCAGGCCUAACACAUGCACGUCGAACGGUAACAGGAAGCAGCUUGCUGCUUUGCUGACGAGUGGCGGACGGGUGAGUAAUGUCUGGGAAACUGCCUGAUGGAGGGGGAUAACUACUGGAAACGGUAGCUAAUACCGCAUAACGUCGCAAGACCAAAGAGGGGGACCUUCGGGCCUCUUGCCAUCGGAUGUGCCCAGAUGGGAUUAGCUAGUAGGUGGGGUAACGGCUCACCUAGGCGACGAUCCCUAGCUGGUCUGAGAGGAUGACCAGCCACACUGGAACUGAGACACGGUCCAGACUCCUACGGGAGGCAGCAGUGGGGAAUAUUGCACAAUGGGCGCAAGCCUGAUGCAGCCAUGCCGCGUGUAUGAAGAAGGCCUUCGGGUUGUAAAGUACUUUCAGCGGGGAGGAAGGGAGUAAAGUUAAUACCUUUGCUCAUUGACGUUACCCGCAGAAGAAGCACCGGCUAACUCCGUG